Molecule: long non-coding RNA, 519 nt
Organism: Suricata suricatta (meerkat)
Lineage: Eukaryota; Metazoa; Chordata; Mammalia; Carnivora; Herpestidae
Exons: 3
Source: RefSeq, a predicted model, not a curated record
GUAAACAUGCUGGGGGAGUUGGACCUUCCUCUAAAGACAUGAGCAGAAAGAAAUAGAAAGUCCAUAUGAAGACAAAGCUGCCAAGAGCCACAGAACUUGCCUUCCUCAUCCUGCAGCUCUGGUCCCAGGCCAGCUGUGAACUACAGUGCCUGAACCGGUUGGGAAAGCAAGGACCUCAGUCUCAUUUUUCUAGUGAGGAAGCUGACGUUGCCCAGGGCCACAUGGCUUGGAAGUGUUGGCACAGGAUUAAUGAUCGCACGUUCCCGAGGCCAGUCCAAAGCCUGUGGUCUUUCCACUUUACCUCACUGAUCAAGUGCUGAUCCCAGGAGCACCCCCUGAGAAACCUCCUGCCUGCUAACCUCCACCUCACAGUCUUCCCUGGAGCACCCCUCACACUGAGGCCUAGGCAUGAGGUGAUAUGAGGUAAAAGAAGGAGGCCCCCACGGAACGUCAGGAGUCUUCCCUUGUGUGGUCUGUUUUGCCUUGAACAUGCUAUGUGGCCUUGAACAAGCCAUUUGU